This is a non-coding RNA of Hyaloraphidium curvatum, 109 nucleotides long. Lineage: Eukaryota; Fungi; Monoblepharomycota; Hyaloraphidiomycetes; Hyaloraphidiales; Hyaloraphidiaceae. The record is from the annotation of a GenBank genome assembly.
GGUUACGUGCUCAGUUGGUAGAGCGCCUGCUUAGCAAUUCAUGAAUCGAGAACUGCGAGGUUCUGAACGGACUUGCAUGAGGCCCCGGGUUCAACUCCCGGAUUCUCCA